GACCUUCAGACUCAAACUAUCAGCAGCUCAGACACUCAGCAGAGUCUUCAGGAUGCAGCAGGUUGUCUCUGAAGAGUGACUGGUCUAAAGGUCGUCCUCCAGACUUCAGUGGUGAACCUGGACCUUCAGACUCAAACUAUCAGCAGCUCAGACACUCAGCAGAGUCUUCAGGAUCCAGCAGGUUGUCUCUGAAGAGUG
Salarias fasciatus (jewelled blenny) is the source of this 198-nucleotide long non-coding RNA. RefSeq lists it as uncharacterized. The record is from RefSeq and is a predicted model, not a curated record. The transcript has 3 exons. Lineage: Eukaryota; Metazoa; Chordata; Actinopteri; Blenniiformes; Blenniidae.